Molecule: long non-coding RNA, 235 nt
Filed under: Lathyrus oleraceus (garden pea)
Lineage: Eukaryota; Viridiplantae; Streptophyta; Magnoliopsida; Fabales; Fabaceae
Description: Pisum sativum (pea) long non-coding RNA (PSAT_LNC013081)
Source: RNAcentral
UCUGAUUGAUACUCUUUUUUGCUUUUCUUGAACCCCGAACAAAUAUUUUCUUCCGUGCAGAUGAUCCCGGAUCACCGCAGUUGAACCCCGACACCUUCAUAGUAGUCUUGUUUGCCAAAUAAUGAACCCCGCUCUCCAUUUUGAACCCCAGUCGCCUGACGAUAGCUCGCGAUCGCCAUUGUGAACCCCAUUCUCCAGAAAACACCCUGUGUCUCCCUUUCUCCAUUUGAACCCC